This is a long non-coding RNA of Gallus gallus (chicken), 534 nucleotides long. The record is from Ensembl. Lineage: Eukaryota; Metazoa; Chordata; Aves; Galliformes; Phasianidae.
CUAAGAUGGUGGAAGCUUGAACCAUUCGCCUAUAUAAUGAAAAAGCAAAUGCUUUUCCAGAAAUUAGUGGCUGUUAAGCAGAGGGGAGGUAUCUCCUCAGCUGACAUUGUUGUAGCUGUUGCAGACCUGGUUGUCUAUAGAACCUGGAACAGGCAAUUAUGUAAUCUGAAUGUGUUUCCUUUUACACCUCUUCCUGCCCCUCUGCUCUGCAGUGCUGAAGCCUCACCUGCAGUACUGUGUCCAGAUGUGGAGUCCUCAGUACAGGAGAGACAUAGACCUGUUGGAGCAUGUCCAGAGGAGGGCCACAAAAAUGAUCCAAGGGAUGGAACACCUCUCCUAUGAGGACAGACUGAAAGAGCUGGAGCUGUUCAGCCUGGAGAACAGAAGGCUCUGAAGGGAGCUGGACUAGAUGGCCCUCAGAGGUCACUUCCAACUCUAAGGAUUCUAGGAUUCUGUGAUUCUCGUGAUGCUGCUUUAAUAGUUCAAAGGGUAUGUAUGAAACACUAGAAUUUCCAUCAAACAUAUGAAUAGUUU